CCUACGGGGGGCUGCAGUGAGGAAUAUUGGUCAAUGGACGAGAGUCUGAACCAGCCAAGUAGCGUGAAGGAUGACUGCCCUAUGGGUUGUAAACUUCUUUUAUAAAGGAAUAAAACGAGGCACGUGUGCCUUUUUGCAUGUACUUUAUGAAUAAGGAUCGGCUAACUCCGUGCCAGCAGCCGCGGUAAUACGGAGGAUCCGAGCGUUAUCCGGAUUUAUUGGGUUUAAAGGGGGCGUAGAUGGGGUGUUAAGUCAGUUGUGAAAGUUUGGGGCUCAACCGGAAAAUUGCAAUUGAUACUGGAAGUCUUGAGUACAGGUGAGGUAGGCGGAAUGCGUGGUGUAGCGGUGAAAUGCAUAGAUAUCACGAAGAACCCCGAUUGCGAAGGCAGCUUACUAACCUGUGACUGACAUUGAUGCUCGAAAGUGUGGGUAUCAAACAGGAUUAGAUACCCGUGUAGUC
RNAcentral lists this ribosomal RNA (460 nucleotides) under uncultured bacterium. RNAcentral's name for it is "partial 16S ribosomal RNA". It matches the Rfam family "Bacterial small subunit ribosomal RNA", at positions 338 to 795 of the family's 1533-position model. The record is from RNAcentral.